RNAcentral lists this ribosomal RNA (429 nucleotides) under Pseudomonadota bacterium. RNAcentral's name for it is "Proteobacteria bacterium partial 16S ribosomal RNA". It matches the Rfam family "Bacterial small subunit ribosomal RNA", at positions 355 to 776 of the family's 1533-position model. Lineage: Bacteria; Pseudomonadati; Pseudomonadota. The record is from RNAcentral.
UGGGGAAUAUUGGACAAUGGGCGAAAGCCUGAUCCAGCCGUGCCGCGUGUGUGAAGAAGGUCUUCGGAUUGUAAAGCACUUUAAGUUGGGAGGAAGGGCAGUAAGCGAAUACCUUGCUGUUUUGACGUUACCGACAGAAUAAGCACCGGCUAACUCUGUGCCAGCAGCCGCGGUAAUACAGAGGGUGCAAGCGUUAAUCGGAAUUACUGGGCGUAAAGCGCGCGUAGGUGGUUCGUUAAGUUGAAUGUGAAAGCCCCGGGCUCAACCUGGGAACUGCAUCCAAAACUGGCGAGCUAGAGUAGGGCAGAGGGUGGUGGAAUUUCCUGUGUAGCGGUGAAAUGCGUAGAUAUAGGAAGGAACACCAGUGGCGAAGGCGACCACCUGGGCUCAUACUGACACUGAGGUGCGAAAGCGUGGGGAGCAAACAGG